GACGAACGCUGGCGGCGUGCUUAACACAUGCAAGUCGAACGGAAAGGCCCUGCUUUUGUGGGGUGCUCGAGUGGCGAACGGGUGAGUAACACGUGAGUAACCUGCCCUUGACUUUGGGAUAACUUCAGGAAACUGGGGCUAAUACCGGAUAGGAGCUCCUGCUGCAUGGUGGGGGUUGGAAAGUUUCGGCGGUUGGGGAUGGACUCGCGGCUUAUCAGCUUGUUGGUGGGGUAGUGGCUUACCAAGGCUUUGACGGGUAGCCGGCCUGAGAGGGUGACCGGCCACAUUGGGACUGAGAUACGGCCCAGACUCCUACGGGAGGCAGCAGUGGGGAAUAUUGCACAAUGGGCGGAAGCAUGAUGCAGCAACGCCGCGUGCGGGAUGACGGCCUUGGGGUUGUAAACCGCUUUCGCCUGUGACGAAGCGUGAGUGACGGUAAUGGGUAAAGAAGCACCGGCUAACUACGUG
This 468-nucleotide ribosomal RNA is filed under the name uncultured bacterium. Its description in RNAcentral is "partial 16S ribosomal RNA". It matches the Rfam family "Bacterial small subunit ribosomal RNA", at positions 28 to 507 of the family's 1533-position model. The record is from RNAcentral.